Long non-coding RNA from Drosophila albomicans, 3316 nucleotides. RefSeq lists it as uncharacterized. NCBI's taxonomy places the organism in Eukaryota, Metazoa, Arthropoda, Insecta, Diptera, Drosophilidae. The transcript has 3 exons. The record is from RefSeq and is a predicted model, not a curated record.
UAACUACAUAAUAGUACGUGGUUACUGGCUUUUCGGCUGAUUUCGAAAAUCGACGUCACACAGUAUUGCUUCGGUUAUUACAUUCACAUUUCGUUUUUGCUUAUUUUCACAUCCACUAGUUUCUUUAGAUUUUCAAAACGAGUUUGUCAUAUCGAAAUGACAAGCAAAUGCCUUUUUCUAUAUCAAAUCGUAUCUUAUUUGCAAAAGGACGAAAAUAGUUAACUUAUUGGUUUAUUGGCGUUAAUUUCAGACCGCCAGAAGAUCAAUUAAGCAUGUAAUUAUUUUUAAAACAUUUAAGUUCUGAACCCCACCUUGAAUUCGCAAAUAAAAUUUUGCCGUCGAUAAUAACAAUUUACGUUUUGGUGAGCGAGCGAUAAAUCUGUCACCAUGAGAUAUCGAAAAAGUUUCUGUACUUUUGUUGGAAUUAGAAAACUAAAUAAAAAUUUAAAACAACAUUUAAAUUCUGAACCCCACCUUGAAUUCGCAAAUAAAAUUUUGCCGUCGAUAAUAACAAUUUUCGUUUUGGUGAGCGAGCGAUAAAUCUGUCCCCAUGAGUUAUCGCAAAAGUUUCUGUACUUUUGUUGAAAUUAGAAAACUAAAUAAAUUUGUUAAGUGUAAUGGGUGGCAUUAAUUUAUUUGAAGUUGUGAAAACAUGUUUUUUUUAUAAAUUAAUUUGUUUAAAUUAAUUACUUUAUUGCUAAAAGUGCAUAAAAAAGUAUUUAAAAUCAAUGGAAUCAAAUCGGUUAAAAAGGUGGUCCCUUUUUUUGUGGAAAACAGCUGAUUGCCGUUAAACUAUUUUUUUUUUUUUAAUAUAUGUAGUUAUAUUACUUUCAGGGGAUAGUAUUAAUCAAGUAUGUAGAAUAAAAUCUUUAUGUCAGUUCUAUCGAGGCAGGCAAUUGAAAAUACGAAAUGUUUUUUUUUCGCGUUGAUUACAUUGGACAAAACCAGCUUUCAGCUGUUUCAGCAGUAAGCAAUUCAAAUAACAAAACGAUGAACGAAAAGUAGUGAAAUCCGGAGCACCUAAAAACGAAAAGACGAUGUCCGAAAUUUUUUUUUCCCAAGGCAGCGUUAGGGCAAUACGUAAAUACAUGCCAUGUCAACCAGAUAGUUUCGUUUUAAUACAUAAUAGUUCAAAUAUAAAAUUGGGAAUAUGCCAAGAAAAAUGGUUCCAAAAUUGUCUCGCCAGUUCCAGGUUGCCGGGGUGAGCGUCGUUAUCGGGACUCUAUGAAGAUUGUGCUGUGGAGGUGUUACUCUCCCAAUGCGCUUGACUUGUGGCAAUUAGAAGUUAUAACGUUUUUUGCGCAGAUGGCCGGAGAAAUUAUAUUUUCAAGACUUUGCUUGCGUUAAUCAAAUAUAAAACUAAAAACUCAAAGUAUUAGGAAUUACAGCUAAAGCUAAGCAUGACCAGUGGAAAAGUAGAGGCAACGGUUCUUCCUAUAAAUCAGUUGAUGCUCUCUCAGCAAAAUAUGUCCCAAAUGCAUUGCCACAUACGAUUGUUGCAUUCGCGUGGAUCCCUAUAUGACUUCGUCCUGCGAGAGUGCAAGGGUAGUUAGAUGUUUACUAGCGAGUGACGCUUGUUAACUUGUAUGUUUUUAUACCCGCUACCCAUAGGGUAGAAGGGUAUUAUAACUUUGUCCCGACAAGAAAUGUAUGUAACAGGUAGAAGGAGGCAUCUCCGACCCUAUAAAGUAUAUAUAUUCUUGAUCAGCGUCAACAGCCGGGACGAUCCAGCCAUGUCCGUCUGUCUGUCUGUCCGUCCGUCCGAAUGAACACCUAGAUCUCAGAGUCUAUAAGAGUAUAGAGCUAUACUUUUUCGACAGCAUUUGUUAUGUUUGCACGCAGAUCAAGUUUGUUUCAAAAUUUUUCCACGCCCCUUUCCGCCCCCGCAAAUCAAAAAAAUCGAAUAACAAGCGUAAUAUUAUAGCUAGAGCUUCGAAUUUUGGUAAAUACAAUAAUAACUAUAGUAUUCAUUAGAGGUGGAGAACUAUCGAUAGUCUGCGCCAUGAUAGUGAUUGAUAGUUUCCAUAAACUAUCAACUAUCGACGAUAUCAUGGAAAAUCUAUCGUCGAUAGCUGUCGAUAGUGCAGUAAAAGAAAAUAAUUUAAUUAGUUUUUAAAAUAAUACAUAUUUGUUUAAAGUAUAAGAUUAUGAAAUUGGUCCUCCAAUCUUUAUCUAAAAAUAAUAAAUAAUUAUUAUUCAAAUAAUAUGAAUUUUUUUAGGUUAGGUAGAAGUUAAGGUACUUCUAUUUAUAUAUUUAUUUCAACUAAUAAUUUUGUACACCUAUUUGAAAUGAUUUGUCCUGCUUUGCCGAAGACCCUCCCGACUCUACGGAGAGCGUGUCGAUAGUGGCCAACCAUCGAUAGUCCCGAUAGUGCCAUCGAUGAUUCUCAUCCUCUAGUAUUUAUGAGUCCUAAGAAUUUGAUUGCGAUCAGAUAAAAAUUGUGGAAGGUAUUAAAGAAAUACUUUUGUAUGGACAAAAACGCCUACUUACUAGGGGUCUUAGUUGCUUUGGCCAACAAUCUGGUACAUUGUGCCGUCUAUGGUAUAUUUUGAAUGUGGCACUAUAUUGAUAUACCAAAUAUACCAUUCGGUAUAUUUUUGUAUUUUGUAGUAUUUUCGGUAUAUUUUUAAAAUAAUACCGCAAUAUUUUGCUUUUAUUCAAAAUGGGUAGCGGGUAUCUCACAGUAAAUUAAUAAUGAUUUUGAGAAAAAAGAGCGAAAUUAGACCUUGAACCUCGGACUGACAUGUCAGCAAUUGCUUUACUGGUCUGUACAGCAUUUACGGUCAUAGCAUGAGUCGAAAUUUAAUUAGCUACUGGCAAUUUACGGGUCUUCACAUUUGAAAUACGUUAGCUUGUUUAGUAAUUUGUAACAACUUUGCUUUGCUCGGGUUAACUCCUAAUCCUGUGGAUAUUUUAUACCCGCCUCCCGUAAGGUGUCGUAACUUUCUGCUUGCAGGAAAUGUAUUUAACAGGGAGAAGGAGGCAUAUACGGCCGAUAAAAAAAAUAUGAUCAUGACCAGCGUAAACUGCUGAGACGAUAGAGAUAUAAUGUUUUUUUGACAUCACUUGUUUAUAUUUGAAUGUAGAUCAAGUUUCUUUUGAAUUUUUGACCCGCACACUUCGGCUCUCGCAAUUCGAAAAAAAAAUCACGUCAGACCGAAAUUGCCAUUCGCAUACCAUUCAUACAUAGAUGCAUACAUACAACCGUAAGCACAGCAGUGAAUACCUCCGUAUUUUAAUGUAAUUAUUAAUUCAUUACUUCAGAGCAUAUUCAAAAAAAUAAACUUUUGAGUAAUUACAUUGUCUUUUAUCAAU